Phymastichus coffea is the source of this 768-nucleotide long non-coding RNA. RefSeq lists it as uncharacterized. The transcript is spliced from 3 exons. Lineage: Eukaryota; Metazoa; Arthropoda; Insecta; Hymenoptera; Eulophidae. The record is from RefSeq and is a predicted model, not a curated record.
UUGACUUGUGCGUUAUUCGCUCGCUCCUUUGUUUUUUUAUUUUCUCAGCAUUUGCAAAGUUACACGAGCGCACAAAAAGUGUUUGCGCGUUAAAAGAUAAAUUCUUUUCGUGCACACUCCGACCGGGUGACGUUUUCAAGCUCAGUUGUGCUUUGGUCGUCAAAGCUAAUGGAUCUCGCUUUUUGCGCUUCACAGAUGAGACGAGCCAUUUUUGCACUUGCGAUCGUCGCUGUUUGCACGGUGGCUGGGGUCGCGGGGUACGAUCCAUACGCCAUGUGCCCGAAAUUUCACUCGAACAGUCGGCAUCCCUAUCCACCCGAUUGUGAGAAAUUCAUCAACUGCUGGUUCGGUCGAGCUUACGUGCAGGACUGCGUUCCCGGUACACGCUUCAACUCGCGCACUGGCAAUUGCGACUGGCCGUGGAAUACGCCCUGUGCUUUCGGCGGCGAGGAUGUGAUCGAUCCUAGGAUGCUGGCUUAGUUUGGCGUUAGCGGUAAUCAAAAAUACCUGACGAGGGAAGCUGCAGUUGGUGAAGUUCGCCGGAGAGCGUUGACAGACUCAUGUAUUUUGAUACGAAGAAAUGACGAGCGACUCGCGGCGAUUGCUGCGAAAUGUGGUGAAAACGUGAUAAUAUUCGCUUUUAUCAGAGCAAUAAAACGAUUAAGAGAUAUGUGUGGUUUGUUUUCAUUGCCAUGUGCACGAAUGACACAAAUAUCCUGUCCAAAUCAGUUCCUAAGUAUACGCGUAUUUUUAUUGGACUAUAUUUUA